CUAUUUUGUAGGACACCAAAACUAAAAAGAUUAGUAUUGUCGUUUAAGGCAAACAGUCCAAGAAUGUAGUGGAUAUUGCGAUGAAAUGAUGGGAAGGCCUUGAAUCCAUCACCAUUAUCGCUAUGAUCAAGCCGAGUCGCAUUUUUUCUGCCAUUAUGCAAAGGCAUUGGAAGGUGAGGUUGCGUUGAUGGCUACCAUGUCAUAAGCAGCCAAGACCGAGAUGGUAUAUAAGGCUAGGAGUUCCACUGUUUUUGGAAAUAUAAAGUUUAUAGAGAAGUAUAAAAUGAGAUAACCAUGAUGGCGAUAUGGUCAAGGUUGAAGUUGUUGUAUAUGACCAAGUCCUUGGCUCAUAGGAAAUUGUGAAAACAAAAAGUCUACUCAUUUUGGAUGUUGGAGUCAAAAACCAUCAAGAAAAGCUGAAGGCGUACAGGUUAAGGAAACGUUAACAAUGAGAAUAGAAACUCAUAGUGGCGGAGGAUAGUAUGGGCUGAGGUGGGCCACGGCCCACCCCCCUAAAAAAAUUAAUUUUUUUUUUGGGAAAUUACAAAAAAAUCCUUAGCCCAAAAUGUUUUGUCCACGUGCCCCACCUGGGUCUCGUGUUUGCUUCAGGUUGUUGAUUGUGUUAUGCGUAAUAUAGAAUCAAAUGGCUCAUGUACCUAAUAUAGAUAUUAGAAUGUUUGAUAUGCUUAUGUGUUUCCCAAUUAUUUAAAGGAAGCAUGGUAUAAGUACUUGAACACAAAGGAAGCAAAUUUUUCCUUUUAUGUUCCUUUUUAUU
This is a long non-coding RNA of Medicago truncatula (barrel medic), 775 nucleotides long. RefSeq lists it as uncharacterized. The record is from RefSeq and is a predicted model, not a curated record. NCBI's taxonomy places the organism in Eukaryota, Viridiplantae, Streptophyta, Magnoliopsida, Fabales, Fabaceae. The transcript is spliced from 3 exons.